This 812-nucleotide ribosomal RNA is filed under the name uncultured bacterium. Its description in RNAcentral is "bacterial SSU rRNA". It matches the Rfam family "Bacterial small subunit ribosomal RNA", at positions 59 to 864 of the family's 1533-position model. The record is from RNAcentral.
CAGUCGAGGGGCAGCAUCAUCAAAGCUUGCUUUGAUGGAUGGCGACCGGCGCACGGGUGAGUAACACGUAUCCAACCUGCCGACAACACUGGGAUAGCCUUUCGAAAGAAAGAUUAAUACCGGAUGGCAUAGUUUUCCCGCAUGGGAUAAUUAUUAAAGAAUUUCGGUUGUCGAUGGGGAUGCGUUCCAUUAGGCAGUUGGCGGGGUAACGGCCCACCAAACCAACGAUGGAUAGGGGUUCUGGGAGGAAGGUCCCCCACAUUGGAACUGAGACACGGUCCAAACUCCUACGGGAGGCAGCAGUGAGGAAUAUUGGUCAAUGGACGAGAGUCUGAACCAGCCAAGUAGCGUGAAGGAUGACUGCCCUAUGGGUUGUAAACUUCUUUUAUACGGGAAUAAAGUUAGCCACGUGUGGCUUUUUGUAUGUACCGUAUGAAUAAGGAUCGGCUAACUCCGUGCCAGCAGCCGCGGUAAUACGGAGGAUCCGAGCGUUAUCCGGAUUUAUUGGGUUUAAAGGGAGCGUAGGCGGGUUGUUAAGUCAGUUGUGAAAGUUUGCGGCUCAACCGUAAAAUUGCAGUUGAUACUGGCGACCUUGAGUGCAACAGAGGUAGGCGGAAUUCGUGGUGUAGCGGUGAAAUGCUUAGAUAUCACGAAGAACUCCGAUUGCGAGGGCAGCUUACUGGAUUGUAACUGACGCUGAUGCUCGAAAGUGUGGGUAUCAAACAGGAUUAGAUACCCUGGUAGUCCACACAGUAAACGAUGAAUACUCGCUGUUGGCGAUAUACAGUCAGCGGCCAAGCGAAAGCAUUAAG